GUGCUCACUUUGGCAGCACAAAUACUAAAAUUGGAAUGAUACAGAGAAGAUUAGCAUGGCUCCUGUGUAAGGAUGACACGUAAAUUCGUGAAGUGUUCCAAAUUUUU
Ailuropoda melanoleuca (giant panda) is the source of this 107-nucleotide small nuclear RNA. Lineage: Eukaryota; Metazoa; Chordata; Mammalia; Carnivora; Ursidae. The record is from Ensembl.